This 254-nucleotide ribosomal RNA is filed under the name uncultured bacterium. RNAcentral's name for it is "partial 16S ribosomal RNA". It matches the Rfam family "Bacterial small subunit ribosomal RNA", at positions 524 to 776 of the family's 1533-position model. The record is from RNAcentral.
CACGUAGGGUGCGAGCGUUGUCCGGAAUUAUUGGGCGUAAAGAGCUCGUAGGCGGUGUGUCGCGUCGGCCGUGAAAACCUGCAGCUUAACUGUGGGCUUGCGGUCGAUACGGGCAUCACUGGAGUUCGGCAGGGGAGACUGGAAUUCCUGGUGUAGCGGUGAAAUGCGCAGAUAUCAGGAGGAACACCAGUGGCGAAGGCGGCUCACUGGCCCGGUACUGACGCUGAGGUGCGAAAGCGUGGGGAGCAAACAGG